Molecule: unclassified non-coding RNA, 335 nt
Filed under: soil metagenome
Description: partial contains 5.8S ribosomal RNA, internal transcribed spacer 2, and large subunit ribosomal RNA
Rfam family: 5.8S ribosomal RNA (bases 1-120)
Source: RNAcentral
GAUGAAGAACGCAGCGAAAUGCGAUAAGUAGUGUGAAUUGCAGAAUUCAGUGAAUCAUCGAAUCUUUGAACGCACAUUGCGCCCCUUGGUAUUCCAUGGGGCAUGCCUGUUCGAGCGUCAUUUGUACCUUCAAGCUUUGCUUGGUGUUGGGUGUUUGUCUCGCCUUUGCGUGUAGACUCGCCUUAAAAUAAUUGGCAGCCGGCGUAUUGAUUUCGGAGCGCAGUACAUCUCGCGCUUUGCACUCAUAACGACAGCGUCCAAAAGUACAUUUUACACUCUUGACCUCGGAUCAGGUAGGGAUACCCGCUGAACUUAAGCAUAUCAAAAGCGGAGGA